GCCUGUUAUUUUAAAAUACAAGGAGACACGCAAAAUUUCCCACAUGUUACUUUAAAUAAAAUAGUUAAAAUACAAUUCUGUAUUUUCCACGAUUCUUUCCAGUAGAGAUAUUUAUAGAAUGCUUGAAACUAGACUAUUUUUCUGAAUGCGCAGUGUUCUAUAUUUGGCGUUGAGCAACAACUGUGGACGAAAACAAUACAGACAUUAAUUUUUGUAAAAAGAUUCGGUUACACAUGAGUAGCUAAAUAAAGGUGUGAGCAUUCCACACAAAGUUCUGAUUUUGGGUUCCAGCACAAGCAAUCCCAAAUACUCUAAGAUCAUAUGCAUGCAUAUGUCCACAUAUAUAUGUAUAAGAUUUUAUGGGAUACCAUUUGUUUUACUGGUUCAAACAACAGGAUUCAAACCCGCAUUUGAAUAUUGUUUCAAAUUAGCCAAUCACAUUUUGAACCUAUUAAUAAAUUCAUGUAUCAGCAGUGAUCUUUGCAAAUUUAAUAAUGACGUCAGGCAUUUCCAGACAGAAUCACUAUAUAAGGUCAAUGGCCGCAUUAUGCCCUAAACAAUUUGUAAACCAAAAUGGCUGGCACAAGCAGUGAUAUAAAUCGCCAAGAAUGGACACAUAGAAUAAGGAGAUCAAGAAUAGCUGUAGUUGAAACGCACAGCCAAACCAGAAACAGUAACGAACAAUGCAGAUAUGUUUCUUUGGCUAAAACCGGUGUCAUUAUCUACCUUGGCGGCAGAGCAUUCAAUAUUUUGGUUCGAAUUUGUCUUUGUGGACGUUAUGUUAACAAGGAACAUCUACUAUCUCAGUACCUCAUCCAUGCGGAUGAAUUUAAAGAUGGUGCGGAAUUACAUUUGGAUGACAGAUGCCAAUACAACUCAAUCGACGGCCGAUUAGAAAAAGUGUGUUUCUGUCCAAGAGACAUACCCAUACCAUUACCAUAACCAAAGUUCAACAGAGGGCCCAACAUAUGAUGGUGAGCUUUCGGACGGUCGCCACCUUUAGACCGGUCACAAGGAUUCUACUAGUUCCUUUUCUGUUAUGUUUAUGAAUAAACGAUACAAUCAAAUGA
Molecule: long non-coding RNA, 1070 nt
Organism: Dreissena polymorpha
Lineage: Eukaryota; Metazoa; Mollusca; Bivalvia; Myida; Dreissenidae
Exons: 2
Source: RefSeq, a predicted model, not a curated record